RNAcentral lists this ribosomal RNA (617 nucleotides) under uncultured bacterium. RNAcentral describes it as "bacterial SSU rRNA". It matches the Rfam family "Bacterial small subunit ribosomal RNA", at positions 120 to 775 of the family's 1533-position model. The record is from RNAcentral.
GGGAAUAUACCCUUUGUACGGAAUAGCCUCUGGAAACGGAGAGUAAUACCGUAUGAGCCCUUCGGGGAAAGAUUUAUCGCCAAAGGAUUAGCCCGCGUUAGAUUAGGUAGUUGGUGGGGUAAUGGCCUACCAAGCCUACGAUCUAUAGCUGGUUUUAGAGGAUGAUCAGCAACACUGGGACUGAGACACGGCCCAGACUCCUACGGGAGGCAGCAGUGGGGAAUCUUGGACAAUGGGGGCAACCCUGAUCCAGCCAUGCCGCGUGAGUGAUGAAGGCCUUAGGGUCGUAAAGCUCUUUCGCCUGUGAAGAUAAUGACGGUAGCAGGUAAAGAAACCCCGGCUAACUCCGUGCCAGCAGCCGCGGUAAUACGGAGGGGGUUAGCGUUGUUCGGAAUUACUGGGCGUAAAGCGCACGUAGGCGGACCAGAAAGUUGGGGGUGAAAUCCCGGGGCUCAACCCCGAACUGCCUCCAAAACUAUUGGUCUAGAGUUCGAGAGAGGUGAGUGGAAUUCCAAGUGUAGAGGUGAAAUUCGUAGAUAUUUGGAGGAACACCAGUGGCGAAGCGGCUCACUGGCUCGAUACUGACGCUGAGGUGCGAAAGUGUGGGGAGCAAACAG